This 883-nucleotide ribosomal RNA is filed under the name Salmonella enterica. RNAcentral describes it as "partial 23S ribosomal RNA". It matches the Rfam family "Bacterial large subunit ribosomal RNA", at positions 2051 to 2925 of the family's 2925-position model. Lineage: Bacteria; Pseudomonadati; Pseudomonadota; Gammaproteobacteria; Enterobacterales; Enterobacteriaceae. The record is from RNAcentral.
CUGUGAAGAUGCAGUGUACCCGCGGCAAGACGGAAAGACCCCGUGAACCUUUACUAUAGCUUGACACUGAACAUUGAGCCUUGAUGUGUAGGAUAGGUGGGAGGCUUUGAAGUGUGGACGCCAGUCUGCAUGGAGCCGACCUUGAAAUACCACCCUUUAAUGUUUGAUGUUCUAACGUGGACCCGUAAUCCGGGUUGCGGACAGUGUCUGGUGGGUAGUUUGACUGGGGCGGUCUCCUCCUAAAGAGUAACGGAGGAGCACGAAGGUUGGCUAAUCCUGGUCGGACAUCAGGAGGUUAGUGCAAUGGCAUAAGCCAGCUUGACUGCGAGCGUGACGGCGCGAGCAGGUGCGAAAGCAGGUCAUAGUGAUCCGGUGGUUCUGAAUGGAAGGGCCAUCGCUCAACGGAUAAAAGGUACUCCGGGGAUAACAGGCUGAUACCGCCCAAGAGUUCAUAUCGACGGCGGUGUUUGGCACCUCGAUGUCGGCUCAUCACAUCCUGGGGCUGAAGUAGGUCCCAAGGGUAUGGCUGUUCGCCAUUUAAAGUGGUACGCGAGCUGGGUUUAGAACGUCGUGAGACAGUUCGGUCCCUAUCUGCCGUGGGCGCUGGAGAACUGAGGGGGGCUGCUCCUAGUACGAGAGGACCGGAGUGGACGCAUCACUGGUGUUCGGGUUGUCAUGCCAAUGGCACUGCCCGGUAGCUAAAUGCGGAAGAGAUAAGUGCUGAAAGCAUCUAAGCACGAAACUUGCCCCGAGAUGAGUUCUCCCUGAGACUUAGAGUCUCCUGAAGGAACGUUGAAGACGACGACGUUGAUAGGCCGGGUGUGUAAGCGCAGCGAUGCGUUGAGCUAACCGGUACUAAUGAACCGUGAGGCUUAACCUUACA